Molecule: ribosomal RNA, 497 nt
Filed under: uncultured bacterium
Lineage: Bacteria
Description: partial 16S ribosomal RNA
Rfam family: Bacterial small subunit ribosomal RNA
Source: RNAcentral
GAUGAACGCUGGCGGCGUGCCUAAUACAUGCAAGUCGAGCGAACAGACGAGGAGCUUGCUCCUUUGACGUUAGCGGCGGACGGGUGAGUAACACGUGGAUAACCUACCUAUAAGACUGGGAUAACUUCGGGAAACCGGAGCUAAUACCGGAUAACAUGUUGAACCGCAUGGUUCAACAGUGAAAGACGGUCUUGCUGUCACUUAUAGAUGGAUCCGCGCCGCAUUAGCUAGUUGGUAAGGUAACGGCUUACCAAGGCAACGAUGCGUAGCCGACCUGAGAGGGUGAUCGGCCACACUGGAACUGAGACACGUUCCAGACUCCUACGGGAGGCAGCAGUAGGGAAUCUUCCGCAAUGGGCGAAAGCCUGACGGAGCAACGCCGCGUGAGUGAAGAAGGUCUUCGGAUCGUAAAACUCUGUUAGUAGGGAAGAACAAAUGUGUAAGUAACUAUGCACGUCUUGACGGUACCGAAUCAGAAAGCCACGGCUAACUACGUG